RNAcentral lists this ribosomal RNA (1574 nucleotides) under Elaphomyces sp. 1 EL-2015. RNAcentral describes it as "eukaryotic LSU rRNA". The stretch from base 580 to 1574 matches the Rfam family "Eukaryotic large subunit ribosomal RNA", at positions 1 to 1001 of the family's 3401-position model. The record is from RNAcentral. Lineage: Eukaryota; Fungi; Ascomycota; Eurotiomycetes; Eurotiales; Elaphomycetaceae.
AGGUGAACCUGCGGAAGGAUCAUUACCGAGUACGGGUCUCUAUCCCCUUCCCGGGGGGUGGGGGCCCAGACCUCCCACCCUUGUCGAUCGUACCGUGUUGCUUCGGCGGGCCCGCCAUGGUUGGCCGCCGGGGGGGUUUGCAUUCGCAAGCCCCCGGGCCCGUGCCCGCCGGAGACCUCUCUCGAAACGCUACCGUGGUCAGGAAUGCUGUCUGAGUGGUGAGAAAUUGAUCAAAAACUUUCAACAAUGGAUCUCUUGGUUCCGGCAUCGAUGAAGAACGCAGCGAAAUGCGAUAAGUAAUGCGAAUUGCAGAAUUCCGUGAGUCAUCGAAUCUUUGAACGCACAUUGCGCCCCCCGGGAAGCCGGGGGGCAUGCCUGUCCGAGCGUCAUUGCCAUCCCCUCAAGCUCUGCUUGGCUUGUUGGGCCGGCGUCCUCUCUGUCAUGGGGGGACGGGCCCGAAAGGCAGUGGCGGCACCCGGAGACCUGGUCCUUCGGGCGGUGAUGCAUGGGUCUCUUCAUCCACCGUCCGGCUGGCCACGCCCCGGGAGCCUGUCGAACGAUCGGUCUUCCCCUUUAGGUUGACCUCGGAUCAGGUAGGGAUACCCGCUGAACUUAAGCAUAUCAAUAAGCGGAGGAAAAGAAACCAACCGGGAUUGCCUCAGUAACGGCGAGUGAAGCGGCAAGAGCUCAAAUUUGAAAUCUGGCCCCUUCCCCGGGGUCCGAGUUGUAAUUUGGAGAGGAUGCUUGGGGUCCGGUCCCGGUCCAAGUGCCCUGGGAUGGGCCGUCGGAGAGGGUGAGAAUCCCGUCUGCGACCGGUGGCUGGGCCUGGGUGAAGCUCCCUCGACGAGUCGAGUUGUUUGGGAAUGCAGCUCUAAAUGGGUGGUAAAUUUCAUCUAAAGCUAAAUAUGGGCCGGAGACCGAUAGCGCACAAGUAGAGUGAUCGAAAGAUGAAAAGCACUUUGGAAAGAGAGUCAAACAGCACGUGAAAUUGUUGAAAGGGAAGCGCUUGCGAUCAGACUCGCCCGGGGAGGUUCAGCCGGCACUUGUGCCGGUGCAUUGCUGCCCGGGCGGGCCAGCGUCGGUUUGGACGGCCCGUCAAAGGCCCCCGGAAGGUAGCGCCCCGCACGGGGCGUCUUAUAGCCGGGGGUGCCAUGCGGCCUGUCCGGACCGAGGAACGCGCCUUCGGGCUCGGACGCUGGCGUAAUGGUCGUAAGCGGCCCGUCUUGAAACACGGACCAAGGAGUCUAACAUCCACGCGAGUGUUCGGGUGUUCAAAACCCGUCCGCGCAGUGAAAGCGAACGGAGGUGGGAACCCUCUCCCCGGGGGGUGCACCAUCGACCGAUCCUGAUGUCUUCGGAUGGAUUUGAGUAGGAGCGUGGCUGUUGGGACCCGAAAGAUGGUGAACUAUGCCUGAAUAGGGUGAAGCCAGAGGAAACUCUGGUGGAGGCUCGCAGCGGUUCUGACGUGCAAAUCGAUCGUCAAAUUUGGGUAUAGGGGCGAAAGACUAAUCGAACCAUCUGGUAGCUGGUUCCUGCCGAAGUUUCCCUCAGGAUAGCAGUAACGAAAUCAGUUU